This is a long non-coding RNA of Erythranthe guttata (spotted monkey flower), 2875 nucleotides long. RefSeq lists it as uncharacterized. Lineage: Eukaryota; Viridiplantae; Streptophyta; Magnoliopsida; Lamiales; Phrymaceae. The record is from RefSeq and is a predicted model, not a curated record.
UCAUCCAUCUUCCUAUCCGAUCAUUCCUCUUCUUUUCGUUUUUUUAUAAGCCCAAACAGUUUCUCACUCUCUCAUAUCGCUCUCUCUCUUCUCUCUCUCUUUUGCUCUUUUCGUUUAUUGAUCGAGAGCUUAGUGAAGAUAAUGGAAAUUUUGAGUAGACGAAAAGGAUUGAGAGGUUUUGAUGGAAGAAAUAUUGAAAGGGAAAAGAAGUAAUUUUCAAAUGAGCCGAGAGAGAGGAGUUGCACGAAACCUUAAGCGUGGAUUUUCAACAAUAAAGUCACGUGAGUGGAAAACUCAGGAAGUCAGCUUCCCCAUGGUGGUGUAUUUCGCCUGCGGAGGUCACUGACGGUGGUCGGAAGACGGCAAGAAGUGCAGCCUGCCCCUGAACUUGAGGAGUCGAUUUGAGUUAUGUCGGCAAAAUUCAGAGAAAUAAAGACCUGCUGCCGCACCUGUUUUCGGAGCAGAAUUUGGAGGGUUAGGAGUGCGGAUUUGAGAAUCAUUCCUUGACGAAACUCGUAGAGAAACUCGAGAGUUGUAAGUAUGUGUUACAUUAUUUCUAAUUCGAGGUUUAUGGUCUCUUCGAAAGGGGAAACAGGGUAGUCCGAGUCUGCCAAUUCUGGCAGUUUCGGCAAUCAGUCUUUCGAAGCUGUUUUUUUAUAUGUUAGGAUAACAUUUUGGGGUCAGUACCUUCUGUUGAAUUGUAGAUGAAGUUUUCAUCUUUCCAUUGGUAUAUGAUAUGACCAAUUUCGAUAACCGUACAAAUUAUUACGAUUUUUCAAAUAAUCUGUACCAGCCAGUGAAUGUUUUCAAAAUCCGAACAGUUCUGUAAUGCUGGUUGAGGCUGUUUCUGCUAUUUUCGGUUCAGAAUUUGGGACUAAAGCCUUCUGUGAACUCGUAGGAUUUUCUGUUAGCUUUCAUUUGUCCGUAUCAUGUGAUCAAUUUGGAUUAGCGUCCUAAUUGUUAUGAUUUUUCAAACAAAGUGUGCCAACAACGAAUUUUCCAAAAACCUGGCAGUUUCAUGUACUCAUCUUCCGGGGCUGUUAUUGCUGUGUUAGGUUGAUAAUUUGGGCUCAGGGUCUUCAGUGAACCUGUAGAUACAGACGUUAGCUUUAAUUUGAUAUAUCGUUUAGGUUAUUUGGAUAAGUGAGGUGAUCGUAACUAUUGUUCGAAUAAGCUGUGGCAGCAAGACAUUCUUAAUAAAUGUUUCAAGAAAUUGACUAUGUGAUAUAGUGGAAUAAUACGGUUAUAUUAGCAUUUAGAAUCUUGUUAAGUGAUGAAUAUUUUUAUAGGUAUCGAGCGUACUAAAGCUCUCAUUCAAGACUUGAGCAUGAAUAGAGAGUAAGGUGUUUUAUAGCACUUGCAUUGGACUUCAGGUGAGGAUCUCUAUUUCUUCACUAUAUUUUCUUUGAAAAACAAAAUACACACUGGGAAUAAGAUAUCCGUUAUUGCUCAUCCUGAUUCUUUGACUACUCAAUCGAGUCCUUUUAUCGAUUCUUGAAUAAUUUGGAGUUUCAGUCGGAUUCUCAAUCAAUUGUGAAUCGUUUCACAUAUUGACUUGUAUAGUAGUUGGAACCACUUCUAUUAUGAUUCAUUAAAUCAUUUGAUUUGUUUCUACAGUGGUUCAAUGAACGUAAGUCGUUCUUUUCCCGACUCUUGUACCAUUUAGGAUUAUUCUAUUUAUCCGUUAAAUCAUUCGUUUCGUACCUACUGGGAAUUGAUGGAUCGUUCAUAUCUUGACUUCUCAUCGAUCCUUUGAAACCACUUGUCUUUCAAGCUAUUCAACUACGGAUUCAAUUUUAACCCUAGACUAUUGUUGAUUGAGAUCCAUCUAUCAUGAAUUGUGGUCACUCUCUUAUUGAAACCAUUGAUCGUACCUUUCUUGACUUGUGAAUUCGUGACCACAUAUUAUUGUCACUUGUUAUUGAAAUCCCAAAACUUACUAUGAUAUUGACUCUUUCCAAAGUGGAAUUCAUUAUUGGAUUCAAAAUGUAAAUUGAGAUAGUCGGAAGCAUCUCCGUAUCUCUAUAUUAUUGAUUCCUUUGGGGACGCCCUAAGGAUAAUUGGCCAGUUGGACCCGGGGCUGUUCGAAAAAGACUGCUGGGCGGUAUUGGGCCGACAGUGGAUGGUCUCUUCGACAGUACCCAUAUUGGAUCUAGACCAUUGGCAUAGUUGGAGGUUAACUGUGCUGAUGGAUAGAUCGGCAUGCGCCCGGGCAUGCAUAUUGAUCGAUUAGCAUGGUCAUUCCCUGAUCGGUGUUAUAAGGUAGUUACGGCUAAUGGAGUCACAAGGGAGGUACAGGUACAUGAACAAAUUGUUACCAUGGGAAUCUCCAUGGUCUCAUAUUUGAUAUCCGAAAUUUUUAUCGUGGGAAUCUCCACGAAAUACAUAAUUGAUAUCCGGGAAUUACCCGUUGAAUAUUGUUCUUUACCAGUACAUAUUGAUUGUAUUGUUUAUUCUGAUCAUACCGAUGUGCCUUAUACUUUGGCCUUUAUACCUUAUCGAACGAUCAUUCUCUAGAUGGUCCAAUUCCAACUCCAAUUCCAAGUUGAACACUUAUAUUGUGAUUUUUAUUUGAUUCGAUUAUUUUGCCCUUGUACUCCUCACUAAGUCCAUUUGGACUUCUCCUCCUUUAUUUUCCUUCUUAUUCUUAGUGGCAGGUGCAUUAGUGGAUGAUUAUGUUGACGACUCUUAGGAGUUGAAGUUAUUUAGAGAUUUUAGAGAGUUUAAUCUAGUGUUGUGUUUAAGAAUUUUGUAAUUCAAGAACUAUGUAUACGAGAUUAGCUGUAAGCUUUGGUUGCCAUGUAUUUGAUUUUAGUAAUGAUAAAUUAAGUUGUAGUCAUUGUAUUUAUUAAUCUAAAAAAAAAAAAACAGUGUA